AUAUUCCUGUACCACCUAUAAUCGUUUUAAUCGAUGGGGGGACGCAGUAGGAUAGGCGAAGCGUGCGAUUGGAUUGCACGUCUAAGCAGUAAGGCUGAGUAUUAGGCAAAUCCGGUACUCGUUAAGGCUGAGCUGUGAUGGGGAGAAGACAUUGAGUCUUCGAGUCGUUGAUUUCACACUGCCGAGAAAAGCCUCUAGAUAGAAAAUAGGUGCCCGUACCGCAAACCGACACAGGUAGUCAAGAUGAGAAUUCUAAGGUGAGCGAGCGAACUCUCGUUAAGGAACUCGGCAAAAUGACCCCGUAACUUC
This 309-nucleotide ribosomal RNA is filed under the name Staphylococcus aureus. Its description in RNAcentral is "partial 23S ribosomal RNA". It matches the Rfam family "Bacterial large subunit ribosomal RNA", at positions 1433 to 1737 of the family's 2925-position model. Lineage: Bacteria; Bacillati; Bacillota; Bacilli; Caryophanales; Staphylococcaceae. The record is from RNAcentral.